RNAcentral lists this microRNA precursor (111 nucleotides) under Solanum tuberosum (potato). RNAcentral describes it as "mir-399 microRNA precursor family". It matches the Rfam family "mir-399 microRNA precursor family". From Rfam's summary of the family: mir-399 was identified in both Arabidopsis thaliana and Oryza sativa computationally and was later experimentally verified. mir-399 is thought to target mRNAs coding for a phosphatase transporter. The mature sequence is excised from the 3' arm of the hairpin. Lineage: Eukaryota; Viridiplantae; Streptophyta; Magnoliopsida; Solanales; Solanaceae. The record is from Rfam by way of RNAcentral.
CUGUGAAUUACAUGGGGAUUUUCCUUGGGAUUAGUAUGAAAAUUUGCAGGAAAAUAAGUUUCCUGCGGAUUUUCAUACUAAUCCCAAGGAAAAUUCCCAUGUAAUUCACAC